GAUGAACGCUAGCUACAGGCUUAACACAUGCAAGUCGAGGGACCGGCGCACGGGUGAGUAACACGUAUCCAACCUGCCCUUUACUCGGGGAUAGCCUUUCGAAAGAAAGAUUAAUACCCGAUGUAAAGGAUGGGGAUGCGUUCAAUUAGGUUGUUGGUGAGGUAACGGCUCACCAAGCCUUCGAUGGAUAUGGUUUCUGAGAGGAAGGUCCCCCACAUUGGAACUGAGACACGGUCCAAACUCCGACGGGAGGCAGCAGUGAGGAAGAUUGGUCAAUGGGCGUUAGCCUGAACCAGCCAAGUAGCGUGAAGUAUGAAGGCUUAUGGGUCGUAAACUUCUUUUAUAUAAGAAUAUGUAUUAUACGAAUAAGGAUCGGCUAACUCCGUGCCAGCAGCCGCGGUAAUUC
This 406-nucleotide ribosomal RNA is filed under the name uncultured bacterium. Its description in RNAcentral is "partial 16S ribosomal RNA". It matches the Rfam family "Bacterial small subunit ribosomal RNA", at positions 28 to 526 of the family's 1533-position model. The record is from RNAcentral.